This 534-nucleotide long non-coding RNA is filed under the name Lupinus angustifolius (narrow-leaved blue lupine). RNAcentral's name for it is "long non-coding RNA (LANG_LNC000357)". The record is from RNAcentral. Lineage: Eukaryota; Viridiplantae; Streptophyta; Magnoliopsida; Fabales; Fabaceae.
AAUUUUAUAAAUUUGAUAAUUUUAUUCUCAUCUAAUGUAUGUGAGCAAUUCAAAUACAAUUUAUUUAUAUAGCUAUAAUCUUAUAGAAACCACAAAGACAUGAAUCAAAACAUGCCCCUUGAUUACAUGUACUAUCCAACUUUGAGAAUAUGCCAGAUAAACCCAACCUGACACAAAAAGAAAAAGUUAAACCUACUUGAUCAAAUCAUUCAAAUACACAGAAUUGUUCACAAAAACAUAAUCAUUGUACCCUCAUUCAACAUUAUCAUAAACAGAAAGCACUAAAGCAAGAGAGUAUCAGUACUUACAAGUUACAACUUCAAUCAGUGCUAUCUCUCCAGCUCAAUAAUUGAAGAAAUAGGAUAGAGAGGAAAGAAUAUACUUUACUAUUCCAGGCUGUACUUUUUGCUUCAAGUGAGACUCAAAAUGUGUCCAACAAGAUUGGAAGAGUUUUCUUCUAUCUUCUGAAUAAAAAAUGACCAAAAAACAAAAGAGGGAAACAAGCAAGAGUCAUAUGAGAGUGUGGGAUAGAAA